AUUGAACGCUGGCGGCAUGCCUUACACAUGCAAGUCGAACGGCAGCACGGGUGCUUGCACCUGGUGGCGAGCGGCGAACGGGUGAGUAAUACAUCGGAACAUGUCCUGUAGUGGGGGAUAGCCCGGCGAAAGCCGGAUUAAUACCGCAUACGAUCCACGGAUGAAAGCGGGGGACCUUCGGGCCUCGCGCUAUAGGGUUGGCCGAUGGCUGAUUAGCUAGUUGGUGGGGUAAAGGCCUACCAAGGCGACGAUCAGUAGCUGGUCUGAGAGGACGACCAGCCACACUGGGACUGAGACACGGCCCAGACUCCUACGGGAGGCAGCAGUGGGGAAUUUUGGACAAUGGGCGAAAGCCUGAUCCAGCAAUGCCGCGUGUGUGAAGAAGGCCUUCGGGUUGUAAAGCACUUUUGUCCGGAAAGAAAUCCUUGACUCUAAUACAGUCGGGGGAUGACGGUACCGGAAGAAUAAGCACCGGCUAACUACGUG
RNAcentral lists this ribosomal RNA (486 nucleotides) under uncultured bacterium. RNAcentral's name for it is "partial 16S ribosomal RNA". It matches the Rfam family "Bacterial small subunit ribosomal RNA", at positions 30 to 507 of the family's 1533-position model. The record is from RNAcentral.